AAACUAUUUUUCUUUGUUUUGAAAACAAGGGUUAAGAUAUUUGUCUUGUAGUUUU
This 55-nucleotide transfer RNA is filed under the name Chabertia ovina (large-mouth bowel worm). RNAcentral describes it as "tRNA-Ser". Lineage: Eukaryota; Metazoa; Nematoda; Chromadorea; Rhabditida; Strongylidae. The record is from RNAcentral.